RNAcentral lists this ribosomal RNA (497 nucleotides) under uncultured bacterium. RNAcentral describes it as "partial 16S ribosomal RNA". It matches the Rfam family "Bacterial small subunit ribosomal RNA", at positions 28 to 507 of the family's 1533-position model. The record is from RNAcentral.
GAUGAACGCUGGCGGCGUGCCUAAUACAUGCAAGCCGAGCGAACAGACGAGGAGCUUGCUCCUCUGACGUUAGCGGCGGACGGGUGAGUAACACGUGGAUAACCUACCUAUAAGACUGGGAUAACUUCGGGAAACCGGAGCUAAUACCGGAUAAUAUAUUGAACCGCAUGGUUCAAUAGUGAAAGACGGUUUUGCUGUCACUUAUAGAUGGAUCCGCGCCGCAUUAGCUAGUUGGUGAGGUAACGGCUUACCAAGGCAACGAUGCGUAGCCGACCUGAGAGGGUGAUCGGCCACACUGGAACUGAGACACGGUCCAGACUCUUACGGGAGGCAGCAGUAGGGAAUCUUCCGCAAUGGGCGAAAGCCUGACGGAGCAACGCCGCGUGAGUGAUGAAGGUCUUCGGAUCGUAAAACUCUGUUAUUAGGGAAGAACAAAUGUGUAAGUAACUAUGCACGUCUUGACGGUACCUAAUCAGAAAGCCACGGCUAACUACGUG